This 518-nucleotide small RNA is filed under the name Arabidopsis thaliana (thale cress). RNAcentral describes it as "ATSL036140". Lineage: Eukaryota; Viridiplantae; Streptophyta; Magnoliopsida; Brassicales; Brassicaceae. The record is from RNAcentral.
ACUGUUUGAAAGCAAUUUUUUGUUGGUUUUAGCCUCUUUUGGGAUAAAAUGGGUAUAAGUGUUGUUUAACCACUCCUAAUCCAUCUCUAACUCUUAUAAUUAGUCAAAUGCAUUGGAUGGUGACACAUUUUGACCAUAGAAACACAAACAAAGCUAUUUACUGCUUCUAACAAUUUUUUAUUGGUUUUAUCCUCUUUUGGGAGAAAAUGGGUAUAAGUGUUGUCUAAACACUCCUAAUCCAUCUCUAACUCUUAUAAUUAGUCAAAUGCAUUGGACUGUGACACAUUUUGACCAUAGAACCACGAACAAAGCUAUUUACUGCUUCUAAGCAAUUUUUUCUUGGUUUUACCCUCUUUUGGGAUAGAAUGGGUAUAAGUGUUGUCCAAACAUUCCUAAUCCAUCUUUAACUCUUAUAAUUAGUAAAAUGCAUUGGAUUGUGACACAUUUUGACCAUAAAACACCAACGAAACUGCUUACUCCUUCUAAAGAAUUCUUUCUUGGUUUAAGCCUCUUUUGGA